UGGAUGCCCUGGCAGUCAGAGGCGAUGAAGGACGUGCUAAUCUGCGAUAAGCGUCGGUAAGGUGAUAUGAACCGUUAUAACCGGCGAUUUCCGAAUGGGGAAACCCAGUGUGAUUCGUCACACUAUCAUUAACUGAAUCCAUAGGUUAAUGAGGCGAACCGGGGGAACUGAAACAUCUAAGUACCCCGAGGAAAAGAAAUCAACCGAGAUUCCCCCAGUAGCGGCGAGCGAACGGGGAGCAGCCCAGAGCCUGAAUCAGUGUGUGUGUUAGUGGAAGCGUCUGGAAAGGCGCGCGAUACAGGGUGACAGCCCCGUACACAAAAAUGCACAUGCUGUGAGCUCGAUGAGUAGGGCGGGACACGUGGUAUCCUGUCUGAAUAUGGGGGGACCAUCCUCCAAGGCUAAAUACUCCUGACUGACCGAUAGUGAACCAGUACCGUGAGGGAAAGGCGAAAAGAACCCCGGCGAGGGGAGUGAAAAAGAACCUGAAACCGUGUACGUACAAGCAGUGGGAGCACAGAGCAAUCUGUGUGACUGCGUACCUUUUGUAUAAUGGGUCAGCGACUUAUAUUCUGUAGCAAGGUUAACCGAAUAGGGGAGCCGAAGGGAAACCGAGUCUUAACUGGGCGUUAAGUUGCAGGGUAUAGACCCGAAACCCGGUGAUCUAGCCAUGGGCAGGUUGAAGGUUGGGUAACACUAACUGGAGGACCGAACCGACUAAUGUUGAAAAAUUAGCGGAUGACUUGUGGCUGGGGGUGAAAGGCCAAUCAAACCGGGAGAUAGCUGGUUCUCCCCGAAAGCUAUUUAGGUAGCGCCUCGUGAAUUCAUCUCCGGGGGUAGAGCACUGUUUCGGCAAGGGGGUCAUCCCGACUUACCAACCCGAUGCAAACUGCGAAUACCGGAGAAUGUUAUCACGGGAGACACACGGCGGGUGCUAACGUCCGUCGUGAAGAGGGAAACAACCCAGACCGCCAGCUAAGGUCCCAAAGUCAUGGUUAAGUGGGAAACGAUGUGGGAAGGCCCAGACAGCCAGGAUGUUGGCUUAGAAGCAGCCAUCAUUUAAAGAAAGCGUAAUAGCUCACUGGUCGAGUCGGCCUGCGCGGAAGAUGUAACGGGGCUAAACCAUGCACCGAAGCUGCGGCAGCGACGCUGAUGCGUUGUUGGGUAGGGGAGCGUUCUGUAAGCCUGCGAAGGUGUGCUGUGAGGCAUGCUGGAGGUAUCAGAAGUGCGAAUGCUGACAUAAGUAACGAUAAAGCGGGUGAAAAGCCCGCUCGCCGGAAGACCAAGGGUUCCUGUCCAACGUUAAUCGGGGCAGGGUGAGUCGACCCCUAAGGCGAGGCCGAAAGGCGUAGUCGAUGGGAAACAGGUUAAUAUUCCUGUACUUGGUGUUACUGCGAAGGGGGGACGGAGAAGGCUAUGUUGGCCGGGCGACGGUUGUCCCGGUUUAAGCGUGUAGGCUGGUUUUCCAGGCAAAUCCGGAAAAUCAAGGCUGAGGCGUGAUGACGAGGCACUACGGUGCUGAAGCAACAAAUGCCCUGCUUCCAGGAAAAGCCUCUAAGCAUCAGGUAACAUCAAAUCGUACCCCAAACCGACACAGGUGGUCAGGUAGAGAAUACCAAGGCGCUUGAGAGAACUCGGGUGAAGGAACUAGGCAAAAUGGUGCCGUAACUUCGGGAGAAGGCACGCUGAUAUGUAGGUGAAGCGACUUGCUCGUGGAGCUGAAAUCAGUCGAAGAUACCAGCUGGCUGCAACUGUUUAUUAAAAACACAGCACUGUGCAAACACGAAAGUGGACGUAUACGGUGUGACGCCUGCCCGGUGCCGGAAGGUUAAUUGAUGGGGUCAGCGCAAGCGAAGCUCUUGAUCGAAGCCCCGGUAAACGGCGGCCGUAACUAUAACGGUCCUAAGGUAGCGAAAUUCCUUGUCGGGUAAGUUCCGACCUGCACGAAUGGCGUAAUGAUGGCCAGGCUGUCUCCACCCGAGACUCAGUGAAAUUGAACUCGCUGUGAAGAUGCAGUGUACCCGCGGCAAGACGGAAAGACCCCGUGAACCUUUACUAUAGCUUGACACUGAACAUUGAGCCUUGAUGUGUAGGAUAGGUGGGAGGCUUGGAAGUGUGGACGCCAGUCUGCAUGGAGCCGACCUUGAAAUACCACCCUUUAAUGUUUGAUGUUCUAACGUUGACCCGUAAUCCGGGUUGCGGACAGUGUCUGGUGGGUAGUUUGACUGGGGCGGUCUCCUCCUAAAGAGUAACGGAGGAGCACGAAGGUUGGCUAAUCCUGGUCGGACAUCAGGAGGUUAGUGCAAUGGCAUAAGCCAGCUUGACUGCGAGCGUGACGGCGCGAGCAGGUGCGAAAGCAGGUCAUAGUGAUCCGGUGGUUCUGAAUGGAAGGGCCAUCGCUCAACGGAUAAAAGGUACUCCGGGGAUAACAGGCUGAUACCGCCCAAGAGUUCAUAUCGACGGCGGUGUUUGGCACCUCGAUGUCGGCUCAUCACAUCCUGGGGCUGAAGUAGGUCCCAAGGGUAUGGCUGUUCGCCAUUUAAAGUGGUACGCGAGCUGGGUUUAGAACGUCGUGAGACAGUUCGGUCCCUAUCUGCCGUGGGCGCUGGAGAACUGAGGGGGGCUGCUCCUAGUACGAGAGGACCGGAGUGGACGCAUCACUGGUGUUCGGGUUGUCAUGCCAAUGGCACUGCCCGGUAGCUAAAUGCGGAAGAGAUAAGUGCUGAAAGCAUCUAAGCACGAAACUUGCCCCGAGAUGAGUUCUCCCUGACUCCUUGAGAGUCCUGAAGGAACGUUGAAGACGACGACGUUGAUAGGCCGGGUGUGUAAGCGCAGCGAUGCGUUGAGCUAACCGGUACUAAUGAACCGUGAGGCUUAACCUU
Molecule: ribosomal RNA, 2882 nt
Filed under: Escherichia coli
Lineage: Bacteria; Pseudomonadati; Pseudomonadota; Gammaproteobacteria; Enterobacterales; Enterobacteriaceae
Description: bacterial LSU rRNA
Rfam family: Bacterial large subunit ribosomal RNA
Source: RNAcentral